RNAcentral lists this ribosomal RNA (253 nucleotides) under uncultured bacterium. RNAcentral's name for it is "partial 16S ribosomal RNA". It matches the Rfam family "Bacterial small subunit ribosomal RNA", at positions 524 to 776 of the family's 1533-position model. The record is from RNAcentral.
UACGAAGGGGGCGAGCGUUAUUCGGAAUCACUGGGCGUAAAGCGUGCGUAGGCUGUCUAGCAAGUUGGAAGUGAAAGCCCAGGGCUCAACCUUGGAAUUGCUUUCAAAACUGCAAGACUAGAGUCCGGGAGAGGAUAGCGGAAUUUCCAGUGUAGUAGUGAAAUACGUAGAUAUUGGAAGGAACACCAGUGGCGCAAGCGGCUAUCUGGACCGGUACUGACGCUGAGGCACGAAAGCGUGGGGAUCAAACAGG